This 66-nucleotide small RNA is filed under the name Acididesulfobacillus acetoxydans. Its description in RNAcentral is "Peptococcaceae bacterium INE non-coding RNA". Lineage: Bacteria; Bacillati; Bacillota; Clostridia; Eubacteriales; Peptococcaceae. The record is from RNAcentral.
GUUUCAAUUCCUCAUAGGCAGGCUAUCGGCCUCAUUUUCUUUUCUCCUUCUGGAAGGCGGUUGGCG